This 365-nucleotide unclassified non-coding RNA is filed under the name Hevea brasiliensis (rubber tree). Lineage: Eukaryota; Viridiplantae; Streptophyta; Magnoliopsida; Malpighiales; Euphorbiaceae. The record is from RNAcentral.
UUAUAGCGAUUCGUCUGGUUCCCAUUCGAUCAUUUCUUUUCGAAUUAGGUUUUCAUUCUGUAUUUAAUGGCGUCCAGUUCGUUUCGUGGCGGUAGUUCCUUCUACAAUGGCAACGCCGCUCCAUAUCGCUCCAGGGAGGGGCUUAGCACAAGACCGGCGGCUGCUUCUGAUGAAAUUCAACUUCAGAUCGAUCCGAUGCAAGGGGACUUGGACGACGAGAUCGUUGGUCUCCACAGCCAAGUAAAAAGACUUAGAAAUAUUGCUCAAGACAUUGGGACAGAAGCAAAGUCUCAGCAAGAUUUUCUAGAUCAGUUGCAAAUGACACUGAUCAAAGCUCAAGCAGGGGUGAAGAACAACGUAAGAAG